CAAAAUUAAAAAGUUACCCAAGGGGAAAGGAGAUUAGUGCCUUCCCCAUUACCACAAUGAUCAACUGCCCUCCUAGAUACUAAAACCUCCUCCAUGGGCAGCUUCAGGGUGGCGGGAGAGGACAAACCAACCAAACAAGAAACAUCUCUCUGACAGACACACACACCUUUUUCUUACUUAGUUUUAAAGACUUCUAGCUUCCUUCCACUCUCUACAACAGUUUCUAUAGUACAAAAACACAUUACAAUACAAAUGUCUGUGGCACACUGAAAGUUUGGAAACACAUUUAAAUGGUUUACAUUUUAUAUCAAAUGAACACAUUGGACCUGGAGGGCAGUGAGGGCUUGGAAAAGGUGCUGUGUGAUUAUGAGGUCCUUGCUGCGCAAUUUAGGUUUAAGGUAUCUUUUAGGACAGAGGUGGGAAAACUACAGCCGGCGGGCCACAUCCAGCCCAUGGGACCCUCCUGCCCGGCCCCUGAGCUCCUGGCCCAGGAGGCUACCACCGGCCCCUCCCCUGCUGUUCCCCCGCCCCCGCAGCCUCACCUCGCUCCACUGCCGGCGCAAUGCUCUGGGUGGCGGGUCUGCGAGCUUCUAGGGCAGCGCAGCUGCAGAGCCCAGCCUGACCCAGUGCUCUGUGCUGUGCGGUGGUGACAGCGUGGCUGGCUCCAGCCAGGCAGUGCGGCUGUAGAGCCGCCUGCCACUGGUGCUCCAGGCAGUGCGACCGGCUAGUGAAAGAGGGAGCGAAUGAAUUAGUUACUGCCAUCUAGUGUAUGAAGAAAUCAAUGCUACAGGCACCAAGCUGGGGGGGAUGCAAGGAACGCCUUGUGUGCAAGGAGCGUGUUUGCUUCACUGUGCCUACAACAUCCAAGAAUAUUCUUCAGAUAAACCAAAUAGAACCCAUUCCUGCAGCCACUGAAGUCAACAGCACAUUUUGUUGUGGAACUGAAUAUGUAGCAUUUUGUUUGUUUUUGGAAGGGUGUUUUCUGGAAUCGUCAAUAGAAUGCACUUUGAAUUUGGCUGCCUUUUAAUAAAAUGGUUGAUUACUU
Malaclemys terrapin pileata is the source of this 1045-nucleotide long non-coding RNA. RefSeq lists it as uncharacterized. NCBI's taxonomy places the organism in Eukaryota, Metazoa, Chordata, Testudines, Emydidae. The transcript has 2 exons. The record is from RefSeq and is a predicted model, not a curated record.